Molecule: non-coding RNA, 75 nt
Organism: Myotis brandtii (Brandt's bat)
Lineage: Eukaryota; Metazoa; Chordata; Mammalia; Chiroptera; Vespertilionidae
Source: Rfam
GGUGGUUCUUGGGUGAUGGACCCUGGAAUCCGGCUCCCUCCUCUCUGGUUCCAGGUGCAUCACUUGAAAACCGCA